CCUACGGGUGGCUGCAGUGGGGAAUUUUGGACAAUGGGGGCAACCCUGAUCCAGCCAUGCCGCGUGAGUGAAGAAGGCCUUCGGGUUGUAAAGCUCUUUCAGACGGAAAGAAACGGUCACGGCGAAUACCCGUGACUAAUGACGGUACCGUAAGAAGAAGCACCGGCUAACUACGUGCCAGCAGCCGCGGUAAUACGUAGGGUGCGAGCGUUAAUCGGAAUUACUGGGCGUAAAGCGGUAGCAGGCAGGUGAAAUCCCCGGGCUUAACCUGGGAACUGCAUUUGUGACUGCGAGACUAGAGUGUAGCAGAGGGGGGUAGAAUUCCACGUGUAGCAGUGAAAUGCGUAGAGAUGUGGAGGAAUACCGAUGGCGAAGGCAGCCCCCUGGGCUAACACUGACGCUCAUGCACGAAAGCGUGGGGAGCAAACAGGAUUAGAUACCCUAGUAGUC
RNAcentral lists this ribosomal RNA (450 nucleotides) under uncultured bacterium. Its description in RNAcentral is "partial 16S ribosomal RNA". It matches the Rfam family "Bacterial small subunit ribosomal RNA", at positions 338 to 795 of the family's 1533-position model. The record is from RNAcentral.